This 430-nucleotide ribosomal RNA is filed under the name bacterium. RNAcentral's name for it is "partial 16S ribosomal RNA". It matches the Rfam family "Bacterial small subunit ribosomal RNA", at positions 355 to 776 of the family's 1533-position model. The record is from RNAcentral.
UGGGGAAUAUUGGACAAUGGGCGCAAGCCUGAUCCUGCCAUGCCGCGUGUGUGAAGAAGGCCUUUUGGUUGUAAAGCACUUUAAGCGAGGAGGAGGCUACUUGGAUUAAUACUCUAGGAUAGUGGACGUUACUCGCAGAAUAAGCACCGGCUAACUCUGUGCCAGCAGCCGCGGUAAUACAGAGGGUGCGAGCGAUAAUCGGAUUUACUGGGCGUAAAGCGUGCGUAGGCGGCUUGUUAAGUCGGAUGUGAAAUCCCUGAGCUUAACUUAGGAAUUGCAUUCGAUACUGGGAAGCUAGAGUAUGGGAGAGAAUGGUAGAAUUCCAGGUGUAGCGGUGAAAUGCGUAGGGAUCUGGAGGGAUACCGAUGGCGAAGGCAGGCAUCUGGCCUAAUACUGACGGUGGAGUACGAAAGCAUGGGGAGCAAGCAGG